UUGGAAGAGAAUUAGAAAAUCUUAGUAUACCUGUCAACAUACAGUGUUGUGCUGCCACGGAAGGCAGCGCAAGUCUUAAUGUGCCAUGGAAGGCACAUUUAAGACGUACACGUCACUCUGCCAUAAACUAUAUCAGGUAUACUUAGUUUUUCUUAUUCUCGUAC
This 164-nucleotide non-coding RNA is filed under the name uncultured Roseburia sp. The record is from RNAcentral. Lineage: Bacteria; Bacillati; Bacillota; Clostridia; Lachnospirales; Lachnospiraceae.